RNAcentral lists this small RNA (2214 nucleotides) under Pan troglodytes (chimpanzee). RNAcentral's name for it is "retained intron". The record is from RNAcentral. Lineage: Eukaryota; Metazoa; Chordata; Mammalia; Primates; Hominidae.
UUCUCCUGCCUCAGCCACCUGAGUAGCUGGGAUUACAGGCAUGAGCCAACAUGCCCAGCUAAUUUUUUGUAUUUUUAGAAGAGACGGGGUUUCACCGUGUUAGCCAGGAUGGUCUCGAUCUCCCGACCUCGAGAUCCACCCUCCUUGGCCUCCCAAAGUGCUGGGAUUACAGGCCUGAGCCUCCGCGCCCGGCCACCACCGCGCCCAGCUGGCUACGUUUUUAGAAAAGAAUUUCCAGUUUGUGCUGGGGCUGCUACAAGAGCUUGAUGCCCUGGUCCCUGCUCAGGGACGUGGGUGGGUGCCUUGUCUGUCCCCACACCCCGGUCCCAGCCUCGUGUGUCUCUGGGCAGGAACAUCGCCAGGCGGGGCCUCUGGGUUCCCAGCGCCUUAGCCCAGGGCCCGCCAGCUGCCAGCGAAGGGUGCCUUCCCGAAGGGGCCUCCUCAGCAGGCGCUGGGCUCUCCCUUCCCAAAGGGGCCUCCUCAGCAGGCGCUGGGCUCUUCCCUUUCCGAAGGGGCCUCCUCAGCAGGCGCUGGGCUCUUCCCUUCCCGGAGGCGUGGCCAGAAGUUCCCCUUGGGCCUCCGGUCCUCGGGGUGUAAUGGCCAUGGUGUAUUUUUGGGAUGAAGACCAGUCCUUCCCGGGGAGGAGCUGCAGGUUCCUGGGGGUCAGGCAGGCAGCGCGGGCCGUGCUCCUCCACUCUGCUGACCGCGUCUCGCCGGGCCUUGCAGCCGGCACAGUCUUCACUACCGUAGAAGACCUUGGCUCCAAGAUACUCCUCACCUGCUACAUGAAUGACAGCGCCACAGAGGUCACCGGGCACCGCUGGCUGAAGGGGGGCGUGGUGCUGGAGGAGGACGCGCUGCCCGGCCAGAAAACGGAGUUCAAGGUGGACUCGGACGACCAGUGGGGAGAGUACUCCUGCGUCUUCCUCCCGGAGCCCAUGGGCACGGCCAACAUCCAGCUCCACGGGCCUCCCAGAGUGAAGGCUGUGAAGUCGUCAGAACACAUCAACGAGGGGGAGACGGCCGUGCUGGUCUGCAAGUCAGAGUCCGUGCCACCCGUCACCGACUGGGCCUGGUACAAGAUCACUGACUCUGGGGACAGCCCUCAUGAACGGCUCCGAGAGCAGGUUCUUCGUGAGUUCCUUGCAGGGCCGGUCAGAGCUACACAUUGAGAACCUGAACAUGGAGGCCGACCCCGGCCAGUACCGGUGCAACGGCAACAGCUCCGAGGGCUCUGACCAGGCCGUCAUCACGCUCCGCGUGCGCAGCCACCUGGCCGCCCUCUGGCCCUUCCUGGGCAUCGUGGCUGAGGUGCUGGUGCUGGUCACCAUCAUCUUCAUCUACGAGAAGCGCCGGAAGCCCGAGGACGUCCUGGAUGAUGACGACGCCGGCUCUGCACCCCUGAAGAGCAGCGGGCAGCACCAGAACGACAAAGGCAAGAACGUCCGCCAGAGGAACUCCUCCUGAGCCAGGUGGCCCAAGGACGCUCCCUGCUCCGCGUCUGCGCCGCCACCGGAGUCCACUCCCAGUGCUUGCAAGAUUCCAAGUUCUCACCUCUUAAAGAAAACCCACCCCGUAGAUUCCCAUCAUACACUUUCUUCUUUUUUAAAAAAGUUGGGUUUUCUCCAUUCAGGAUUCUGUUCCUUAGGUUUUUUCCUUCUGAAGUGUUUCACGAGAGCCCGGGAGCUGCUGCACUGCGGCCCCGUCUGUGGCUUUCAGCCUCUGGGUCUGAGUCAUGGCCGGGUGGGCGGCGCAGCCUUCUCCACUGGCCGGAGUCAGUGCCAGGUCCCUGCCCUUUGUGGAAGGUCACAGGUCACACGAGGGGCCCCAUGUCCCGCCUGUCUGAAGCCAACGCUGUCUGGUUGCACCAUUUUUGCGCUUUUAUGUUUAAUUUUAUGAAGGCCACGGGUCUGUGUUUGACUCAGCCUCAGGGACGACUCUGACCUCUUGGCCACAGAGGACUCACCUGCCCACACCGAGGGCGACCCCGUCACAGCCUCAAGUAACUCCCAAGCCCCCUCCUUGUCUGUGCAUCCGGGGGCAGCUCUGGAGGGGGUUUGCUGGGGAACUGGCGCCAUCGCCGGGACUCCAGAACCGCAGAAGCCUCCCCAGCUCACCCCUGGAGGACGGCCGGCUCUCCAUAGCACCAGGGCUCGCGUGGGAACCCCCCUCCCACCCACCGCCACAAUAAAGAUCGCCCCCACCUCCACCCUC